GGAGUUAGCCGGUGCUUCUUCUGCGAGUAACGUCACAGAUGUAAGGUAUUAACUUACACCCUUUCCUCCUCGCUGAAAGUGCUUUACAACCCGAAGGCCUUCUUCACACACGCGGCAUGGCUGCAUCAGGGUUUCCCCCAUUGUGCAAUAUUCCCCACUGCUGCCUCCCGUAGGAGUCUGGGCCGUGUCUCAGUCCCAGUGUGGCUGAUCAUACUCUCAGACCAGCUAGGGAUCGUCGCCUAGGUGAGCCUUUACCUCACCUACUAGCUAAUCCCACCUGGGCUUAUCCAUCAGCGCAAGGCCCGAAGGUCCCCUGCUUUCCCCCGUAGGGCGUAUGCGGUAUUAGCAGUCGUUUCCAACUGUUAUCCCCCACAAAUGGGCAAAUUCCCAGGCAUUACUCACCCGUCCGCCGCUCGUCAUCUUCAAAGCAAGCUUUUGAAAUGUUACCGCUCGACUUGCAUGUGUUAGGCCUGCCGCCAGCGUUCAAUCUGAGCCAGGAUCAAACUCUGA
Molecule: ribosomal RNA, 510 nt
Filed under: uncultured bacterium
Lineage: Bacteria
Description: partial 16S ribosomal RNA
Source: RNAcentral